AUGGAGUCCGUCGCGAUCGCCACCACCUCCCGCGCCCUCGCGCCGCCCUUCCCCUCCGCGGCUCUCCGGCGCCGGCGCCGCGCCGCCUCCUUCGUCCCGGUCGCGGCCGCCUCCAAGCGUGCGCGCCCCUAUCCCGUCCCGUGCGUCUCGUUUCUACUGCUGCUGCGCCGGUGCUCACGCCCCCGUUUGCCUUGCCUUGCAGGGAGAGACGGCGGCGAGGGGGAGGAUGCCGGAGCCCACAAGCCGCCCAGGCCGCCGUCUUCGGGGGGCGAGCCCACGGGCCUCGCGCCGUACGGCCUCUCCUUCUCGCCCUUCUCCAAGGACGCGGCCAUGGGGCUGGUGAUGAGCGCGGCGACGGGGAGCGGCUGGACGACAGGGUCGGGGAUGGAGGGUCCGCCGAUGGCCGGCGGCGCCGCGAACCGGCCGGAGGUGUCGACGCUGCCGUGGUCGCUCUUCACAAAGUCCCCGCGCCGGCGGAUGCGGGUGGCCUUCACCUGCAACGUAUGCGGGCAGCGGACCACACGCGCCAUCAACCCGCACGCCUACACCGACGGCACCGUGUUCGUUCAGUGCUGCGGGUGCAACAUCUUCCACAAGCUGGUGGACAACCUGAACCUGUUCCACGAGAUGAAGUGCUACGUCGGGCCCGACUUCCGCUACGAGGGGGACGCUCCAUUCAACUACCUUGAGGGUGGGGACGACGACAGCGGCAACAUCUUCCCACUUCUCUAG
RNAcentral lists this ribosomal RNA (732 nucleotides) under Triticum aestivum (bread wheat). RNAcentral describes it as "partial small subunit ribosomal RNA". Lineage: Eukaryota; Viridiplantae; Streptophyta; Magnoliopsida; Poales; Poaceae. The record is from RNAcentral.